Molecule: signal recognition particle RNA, 294 nt
Filed under: Cebus imitator (Panamanian white-faced capuchin)
Lineage: Eukaryota; Metazoa; Chordata; Mammalia; Primates; Cebidae
Description: Metazoan signal recognition particle RNA (ENSCCAG00000012601.1)
Rfam family: Metazoan signal recognition particle RNA
About the family: The signal recognition particle (SRP) is a universally conserved ribonucleoprotein.
Source: RNAcentral
UCCAGGUGUGGUGGUGCAUGCCUGCAGUCCCAGAUUCUUGAGAGGCUGAAGUGGAAGGAUUGCUUGAGUGCAGGAGUUCUGGGCUGUAGUGUGCUGUCCAAUCUGGUGUCCACACUAAGUUCAGCAUCACUAUGGUGACCUCCUUGGAGCAGACCACCAGGUUGCCUAAGGAGGAAUAAAAGGACCCAGGUUGGAAAUGGAGCAGGUCAAAACUCCCAUGCUGUUCAGUAGUGGGACCACAGGUGUGAAUAGCUACUGCACCCCAGCCUAGGCAAUAAGCAAGGCCCUGUUUCG